GUCUAUGGCCGUACCACCCUGAACAUGCCUGAUCUUUUUUGAUCUCAGAAGCUAAGGAGGGUUGGUAGUAGUUAGUACCUGGUAUGGAAGACCACCUGGGAAUACCAGGUGCUUUUAAAG
RNAcentral lists this ribosomal RNA (120 nucleotides) under Microcebus murinus (gray mouse lemur). The record is from RNAcentral. Lineage: Eukaryota; Metazoa; Chordata; Mammalia; Primates; Cheirogaleidae.